GACGAACGCUGGCGGCGUGCUUAACACAUGCAAGUCGAACGGAAAGGCCCUGCUUUUGUGGGGUGCUCGAGUGGCGAACGGGUGAGUAACACGUGAGUAACCUGCCCUUGACUUUGGGAUAACUUCAGGAAAAUGGGGCUAAUACCGGAUAGGAGCUCCUGCCGCAUGGUGGGGGUUGGAAAGUUUCGGCGGUUGGGGAUGGACUCGCGGCUUAUCAGCUUGUUGGUGGGGUAGUGGCUUACCAAGGCUUUGACGGGUAGCCGGCCUGGGAGGGUGAACGGCGACAUUGGGACUACGAUACGGCCCAGACUCCUAUGGGCGGCAGCAGUCGGGAAUAUUACACAAUGGGAGGACGCCUGAUGCAGCAGCGCCGCGUGCGGGAUGACGGCCUUCGGGUUGUGAACCGCUUUCGCCUGUGACGAAGCGUGAGUGACGGUAAUGGGUAAAGAAGCACCGGCUAACUACGUG
Molecule: ribosomal RNA, 468 nt
Filed under: uncultured bacterium
Lineage: Bacteria
Description: partial 16S ribosomal RNA
Rfam family: Bacterial small subunit ribosomal RNA
Source: RNAcentral